This 1138-nucleotide long non-coding RNA is filed under the name Anolis carolinensis (green anole). RNAcentral describes it as "lncRNA (ENSACAG00000039204.1)". The record is from RNAcentral. Lineage: Eukaryota; Metazoa; Chordata; Lepidosauria; Squamata; Anolidae.
AAGCCCUUUCUGUUCUACUCAGAAUACGUCAUUUAUUUCGGAGCAGAAAAUGUCGUUUUCUGUGCAAAACAACCAUAUGUAUUUUAAAUUUAACAUAAUAAGUAAAUUGGUUCUCAGAGUUAUUUGCAGUAAGAGUAAAACUUCUAAAAUUUCACAACAAGUAAUGCAAAUCCUUAAUUAAUUUUAGCAAUUGUUAUGUUACUUAUACAUGCUAUAAUAAGGAGGUAACAUUAUACAGUAAAUGCCAGAAUACACAAACUGUUAUAUGGUAAGGAAUUUUGUGAAGAGAAAACUAUAUCCUAACUAUACAAACUCCUUGAAAUAGUCCCAGAGAAAGGUCAAAUACAGGUCUGUAAGGGCCUUUCCACACAGGCAUAUAACCCAGAAUAUCAAGACAGAUAAUCAACAAUAUCUGCUUUGAACUGGAAUAUCUGAGUUCACACCGUCAUAUAAUCCAGUUAAAUGUGGAUUUUAUAAAGUUGUGUGGAAGGGCCCUAAGUCUGCCCUGAAGGCCAUUUAUAUGCCUGUGAAAAAUCCAUCAAGAAAAAUGACUGCUAGUAAUGUUUUUGUCAGUUGUAGCCUUCCAAACAGGUAAGUUUAUAAAGUUACUUUGAAAAAAAUAUAUUAAUAAAACAUUUGAAACAUGCACUACUGCAUAAUUCUUGCUACAGUAAAGAAAGUUUACUAGAAUAGUUACAGACCUAGUCAUUUUCAAGCUAAUUCUACUCUGUCCUAUGCCUGAAGCUCAGAGGUAGUGAGUUAUAUGUGACAAGAGGCCACCAGUUUCUCCAUGUUAGGACAGAACAUGGAGAAACUGAGAAGAUUCAAAUUGGCAUAUUAAUCCCACAAUAGUUCUAUCAGCCCAAUUCAUAGUUCCCAAAGUCAAUUCUUAUCAACCCAACAGCAUAGUCAGUUAUGAGGAAUGCUGGGAGCUGUGGUCCAACAACAUCUGGGGGACCAUACUAAGUCAGUCUCUAUGUUAGCGGGAAGUUGAUGCCAUAGUGAACCAAGUACUCUUUCUUCUACUACUCUCUAACUACACAUAAUUCUUUCUUUUUCUUGAUCCAUCUUUAUGCUUUAAAUUUUUAUUUCAAUAAAUACAAUAAAAACCACCAGUAGAGUCCCAUCUCUCCUAAUA